Long non-coding RNA from Felis catus (domestic cat), 2466 nucleotides. RefSeq lists it as uncharacterized. NCBI's taxonomy places the organism in Eukaryota, Metazoa, Chordata, Mammalia, Carnivora, Felidae. The record is from RefSeq and is a predicted model, not a curated record. The transcript has 3 exons.
CCUCACCCCAGAACCCCCGCUCCAGCAGCUGCACAGACCCUGAGCCACGUGAUUCUCGCCUCCUCCUCUGCUACCACCCCAGGCCCCCUUACUGCCCCCUCUUUCUGUGCAGGUCUCCCAACUGGUCUGCCUUGGCUCUCACCCCAUAGUGGCUUGUCUGUAGAAAAGCAGGUUUCUCCCAAAGGCACUUUGUGCUUGCGGCUCCCUCCCGCCCCUCAUCCUGAGGCCCUCCCCUCCUAAAGGCCUUUGAUCACUUCACCUCACGGUGGCCCGCAUCUGCCCUACAAGUCCAACUGACCCCCUCAUCUCACUUUCUCUGCCGGCACCGGGGCCGGCGCCGUGUGUGGAUUCCUUGUGCCUCCCAGUCUUCUCCCACUGGAAGCUUCAUAAUAUGCCCCUUGCUCCAAAAUGACCCACCCUGUAUCAGUCCUCGACGGAAUCCGUUCUUUUCAGAAGUUGAAUUCUACCAGAAGGUACAGGAAAGCAAUCUGAUUAAGCUGAUUCAUACUAACAGAACUCCCAGUGUGCUGCCCUCAGUGGAACUUCACCUAUGUCUCCGAGGUGUGCAGGGCACCUUUCCGGGAGGAUGGAGCCUGUUGUUCUGGAGGAUGGCUUUCUGUUGACACUUGCAGCUGUCCCCACUCACCAUUGCAUCCCUGUGAGAUGCAGGGACAGCACAGGGGACUCCACUCUUCAGAACUGAAGAGGGCACCUUCCAAUGAUAAGAAUCCGCCUUGGCCUCUGGCAGAUGUGCUCUGGAUGUGAUUGAUUGAUACACUGGUGUCCUUCCGGGAUAGUGUCCCAUCUUGACCAGAUACAUGCCCAUCCUUUGGAACCGAGGGCCAGACCGGCCUGGCUGGCUGAGAUAGAGAAGGAAAGGACUCAAGGUCUGUCUGAGCCCCCUCUCCCUGCUAAUCACAAGCUGUCUGGGAGCACAGUUGGAAAAUCAGGCAAGUCAGAAGGGGUCGAACCUCAUCUGCAGCAGACUGGAUCAGGAAGGAGGAAGAAGGAGAAACUUGGAAGUCACCAGGCUGCUUCUCACCAGCCCUGUGUCCUCACCCUUGACGACUCAGGUGUCAUUGCUUUGACAAAUGGACUGUGAGCUCAGUCCCUGUGUGUGAGCGGGUGUAGAAAGCUUCUCCCUUCCAGAUGCAGCAGCUCAGUACUUGCCUUGUGCACAGGCACGGCUUUCUUCUUGGAGAAGGAAAAAAGGCCAUCCUCACAGUGAAACUUGCUUCAUUCGUCUCAGGAGUAAUGGUGAGCCUCUCUCUGAAAGCCACUUAAUUAUGUGGCGAGGGUCCUGCUGUGGUGAGUGCUGCAGAGGCCGUCCAGCCAGGCACGCUCCCCUUGUAAGUGGUAAAAUAUACAGUACGAUUAAGUAGCAUGAGAAACCUGAGUGUUGUUUCUGAAGACAUCAGUCCGUGUUUGGACUGUUUUGAUUUACUGUUAAUUUGGGGAGGCUGGCUUCUCCUUGAAAAGCAUGGAAUGUGCACUUUUAAAAUAAUUGCAAUCAAAUCUCGCCCUGAUAGGGGCUUUCUGGUUCCCUGGACACUGGGCAGCAGUACUCUGGGGGUGGGAUAUAUUCAUUCUGCAAAACAUUUUCCCGAGUGUUCUUUCAGCCGAUUCCCCCACACUCUUGUCAGGAGCAGGGUUGCAUUGCUUCCCACCGCCAGAUUCCUUCUUCAUCUUUAAAGACUUCCUGGGGUCUGAAGAAGGGAGCUGGGGGCCUGGCGGUGCCUAAUCUAGGCACCUAAUCUAGGUUGUGGAGCCUGCCCUCCUAGUGCCGUUCUUGUAGGAUUUCCUUUAGUUGGAGUGAACAGGGAGGUGGGAGCACAUCUGUGUUCUAUGAAAACUGACCCAGCACUCCUCAUGCAGCAGGGUCUGCCUUAACUUCCCUCUUGCGGUUGGAAUUGAUAAAAUGGGUUAUUGAGUCAUCCUCUUGAUGGGGCCCACAGCGUCGGAACCUGUCCAGGGGCCAAGAGGUGAACUGAGGCAGGAUGCAUGCUUUACUCCAUCUGAUUAUGUAAACCAGGCACUAGGCAAAUCCAGGAGAUGUCAGUAUGAGGGGCGGCAGGUUUUCGGCUGAAUCGUUUGGGGGAGUAAAGUGAGAACCCGUAUUUUAAAAAAGUUAAUGCUAGGAGAGGAGACAGAGGAAGCAAAGAAUUUUUACUUUUUCAUUUUGCCUUACAAGGUAAUUUGAAAAUAAAAAUUACCCUUUGAAAUGUUGCCAGCAGUGACUGAGUGAAAACCAGUGAGGGUUCAGAAGUUCGAGUCCUACUCUGGUUUCAAAUAAGGUACUUAAUGGGCCUUUCCCAUCAUUGAGCACAAAUACAUAUCCCUAACAUUUCUCCAAAAUUUGAUUUUGUUCUCCAUUUCAAGGAAAAAGUGUUGUGAACGGGCUGAGCCUGGUUUCCCUGGCCAUGACAAAUUCUCAUGAAACCAGCAUACAGGAACUGGAUUUUCACA